Molecule: long non-coding RNA, 2939 nt
Filed under: Solanum lycopersicum (tomato)
Lineage: Eukaryota; Viridiplantae; Streptophyta; Magnoliopsida; Solanales; Solanaceae
Description: long non-coding RNA (SLYC_LNC000038)
Source: RNAcentral
GAACCCGGCCCGAUUCUCAUUCCAAAAAGAAAUCCAGAACGACCUAACAUCUCCUUCUUCAAGUCCUUGUACAGAUUUUCUGCAAUUCCAGUUGUUGCCCCGUCUUGACCAAUGCGAGAUCAUUCCACGUCGACGACAGGGACGCUAGAAUCCAUUCCAAGCGUCCAUCCCCCUUUCCUCUUCUGGAAUGGGGUUGAAGCUUCAAGAAAAGGUGUUUUUCCUAAAUGGAAAAUUUUUUCAAAGGAUUGAAUUUUCAAUAGGUUUGGUUUUGGUCCGAAAAUUUCAUCUGAUUCCCCCCCCCCCCCCUUUUUUUUUUUCAAACCCUAAUUUCCCUUCUAUAUAUAGUUUGUUAUCUUUUUACUGUUGGAGUGGGAGAAAAUAUUGGAGAGAGUUACAAGAGUUGAAAUAUAUAUACAUAAGAAAAAGGUUGAAAAGUUGGGAGAAAAAAAGGAAAAACAGAGGAAAAAGUUGGGUGAGAGAAAUUGAACAAAAAGAGGUAUGAAGUUAGUCAUAAUCUACCAUUAGAAAAUAUAUCUUAAAAGAGUCAGUCUUUUGGUUUUGCUUGCAUUUUUUUUCGGGGGUUUUAUUGUUUGAAUCUGAGCUCCUGCAAUAGAAGAAUAGUGGAAGGUGGAUCCCCUGCAUGUUCUCGUCUUGAUUUGUUGCCUCAAAAAAGGUAUACAACUUCUCUCUUCUUACAGUUCUCUUUUUAACUUGAGUCUUAAUUUGUUUGUUUAGUUGGUUACACAGUUCUGGUAGUCCAUUAAGGAUAUGGAUUCCUCGUGUGAUUUUAAGAUUUGGUCGUUUGCUUGUUAAAUAUGAUCCCAUAUGUAUGUGUAGAUCAUGAAUGUGUUUAGAAGUUGUUUCGUAACUUAAAAUUGUUACUCUUCUUGUUCCUUGUUGAAUCUUCAUAGUUGCAUUUUGUUUAGUUUUCAAACUAUGCUAUUUGUCUUAGUCUAUUAUAUCCUUAAUCAUGAAGUUGUAAAUCUGAUUUAUUCGACGUCAUAUCCUUUAUUCUUUAAUCUCGAGUUGAAUGAAUGAAUUAAGAUGUCAGCAUUUCGAGUAAUGCCGCAUUCACCACUAUUUUGGGUUCUUAUAUUUUGUAUGUUAUUACUCGUUUUAAUUCCUUUUAUUUUGUUGCUUUGUUGAGUCUACUUGAGAGUGUAGGCUUGUUUCCCUUUGUCCAGAUGCUCUUUUUCUGAUUUCUUUUCCUCUGAUUCAAAUUUGCUGCAUCUGUUAAAUUGGCUACAUCUUUGGAUAUUGCUUCAUUUUAUUUUUUUAAACAAGAAGAAGUUCUAAGUGUCCUUUCAUUUUGAUAUGUCUUAAUUGAAAAUAGUAGCUAAUAGCUAAGUCAUAGGAUUUAUUUGAGUCAUUAGUAUUAAGUUCUAUGUAUUCAAGAUUGAUUUGAUAAUAUGGUUGUGAUCAAGUGUUAUACACAUGAAUAUGCUUAUGGCUUCUAGUCAUGGGUGUGUUGCUACUGUUUUUUGUCAUAAAUUAGUGCAAAUAGGAGCCUUAGUCAUGAGCAUUAAGUUAUGCACCAUGAAUUUUAUUUUCUUUUUCUUUUCGAGUAUCUAGAUAUUGGCAUAAAUUAAUUCUUGUUUGCUCUAUUAAAUUUUAUUCAAGUGAAGGUUCUUUGUUAACUCUUUUCCUUCUGUUUUGCCACAUGUGACACCAUCUGAGUCUAUCAGACUCCAUCCUUGCAUCGAGCUGAAUUUCUUCUGAGUCAUCCUCAUCUUGUUUGAGUGAAUCGGAGGCAAUCUACAUGCUGGAGAUUGAAUUUCAAGUCCCAAAAGCCCAAAAGCUGGUUGUAUACAGUCUGUACACAACAAUAUAAAAUGGUAUAUACUGCGAAAAUAAUGAUAUACAGGUCACAAAAAAAUAUGAAAAUAUGGAUUGAAACACAGUAGCUACAGGUUAAAAAUUAAAAAAACAGGGCAGAGACGAAGCAUAAGUCCCGUAUACAUUGUAUACUUAAUGUAUACAUGACUCACUUUGGCAUGAAUAUAGGCCAAUGCCCAAUUUUACUAGGCUUUGCUUGUGUUCCAGCAGGUCCCAGCAGACAAAUGGGUCCAAAAGAUCCCAAAAACAGGCCAAGCCCAUUAUGAAGGAAUUGUAGAUUUAGGACAGGUUUAGCGUAGGCCCAAGAAUUUGGUUUUAUUUCCUAUCUUAUCUUCAUUUGCUUAUUGAAGUUGGUUUAAUUUAAUUAAUUUCCCACAGAUAGUCAUAUAUAUAUACUUAGCCUUAUUUUCAUAAGUUAUAGUGCCUUAUGAAUUAUUUCCCUUUAAGAUAUUCUCCGUGUUUCAUUUUUCCCUUAAGAUAAUACAAUAAUAAAAUUGAGUAAAUAAGUAAAAAGAAUUGAUUUUCCUUUAAUUAUUUGAAAUUAAGAAACAUCAUUUAAAAGUCAUUUUAGUCAAAUCGUCGGUCAAACGCAAGUUAGUGGGCAUAUUGAGGGCUAACACCUUCUCGUAAUGUACAUUGAACUUCAAAUCCAUUUUUUCAAAUUGAUUUUUUUAUUUGUUUCAACCUUUUUGAAAAUCUUAAGUUUUUCUUGAUUUUUGUUAAAAAAAAAAAAUUGUGUGGCGACUCUUUUAAAUUGAAAAAUUGAUUUCUCAUAAAUCAUAAGUUUAAACGAUUUUUUAAAACUUAGUUAUUUUUUUCAUUCUUUUAUUAUUUUUCGAAGUAAAACAUGAACUAUUUAAAUUCAAACCUUUGUUAAGUCUAAGCAAAUGAGGUCUUAGCAAAUGUCGAAGCUAUUGAUGAAGAGAAAAUAUCUUGCACAACAAAAUGUCUGAUUUUAUGUUUUUUUUAGUGCAACACCUAAUUGCAUGGACAAUUAUUUUGAACUUGUCCCCAACAAGUUUAUUAGAGUAAAUUUCACAUAUAGCAUUAUAUGUAGUAUUAUUAUCAUGUUAUGGCAUUAGAGUUUUAAUUUCAUUCUGUAG